GCGCCCUGGAACACUCGGGGGCGCCGCGGGACCCAGAAUUCCCGGGGCCAUGGGAGAGACCAUCGGCUCUAACGGAGGGGGGCGUCCCGGGGUGGUGGGGCGGAGUCUGUGUCGUCAAACGGGCAGGAAGUUCCCGUGAGUCUUUGCCAGGAUUACCCUCCCUUCUGUGAGGAAUGGAAUGUUCCGAGUCCUUAAAGGCCCGGGACGCCACAGAAGCGACCUUUCUAUUAUCAUGAUAAUGGAGGUAAGUGGUGUUUGUAGUUGGGGACCAGUAGCAGGCGGCAAAGGCGAAGGAGCUAAAAGCUUCUUAAUUCCUGGGAAGAAGUUCUCGGGAAGCUUCAGUGGGGGGCGCAAGGCGGCUCCCUGUGGCGCGUCUCCGGCCUUCGGGGCGGCGGUGGGGAGAGUCGCGUGGGGCCUAAGAGGGCCGAGGCUCAAGGCCCGCGCGCGUGUCUGUCCCCCUGCGGUCCCCGAAGGCCGGGCCCCCGUUCCCCGGACCCGGCGUGGGAGGUGCGCCAACCCCGGAGGACUGGUCGCCGAAGCCUCCACGGUGUAG
Molecule: long non-coding RNA, 553 nt
Filed under: Ursus maritimus (polar bear)
Lineage: Eukaryota; Metazoa; Chordata; Mammalia; Carnivora; Ursidae
Description: lncRNA (ENSUMAG00000006999.1)
Source: RNAcentral